UUGUGAGCGUAGUUACACACGCACACAAACACACACACGUAUAUAAAGCUCCUGGGAUGAAGUGAACCUCACACUUCUCCAAUCCCCAAGCAAACCUUGCAAAAUGGUGAGUCUCCGCGCUCUUCUCGUGCUGGCCGUAAUGGCGGUGAUGCAGGUGUGCUUUGCCGCUGCCUGGAAUUCGCACGGCGGGCACGACGACGACGGGUACGGCGACAGGGACGACGGGUACGACAGGUACGACGGCGACCGAGACCACGGCUACGACGGCGGGUACGACGACUCAGAGCACCGCAGAUGGUGAUUGCCUGCGGAGGUGCUCGUCCUCGCGGCUCAGUGCUUGGGGACUCGGGAGUUAUAUAAAGGCUAAAAAAUGAG
Long non-coding RNA from Penaeus vannamei (Pacific white shrimp), 375 nucleotides. RefSeq lists it as uncharacterized. Lineage: Eukaryota; Metazoa; Arthropoda; Malacostraca; Decapoda; Penaeidae. The record is from RefSeq and is a predicted model, not a curated record.